UACGAGAGGCCCAAACGUUAUUCGGAAUUACUGGGCUUAAAGAGUUCGUAGGCGGCAUUGCAAGUAGGGUGUGAAAGCCCUCGGCUCAACCGAGGAAUUGCGCUCUAAACUGCAGUGCUCGAGGAAGCUAGAGGUGAGCAGAACAGAUGGUGGAAGCGGUGAAAUGCGUUGAAUAUCAUCUGGAAUACCGGAGGCGAAGGCGGCUCACUGGGCUUUCU
Molecule: ribosomal RNA, 218 nt
Filed under: uncultured bacterium
Lineage: Bacteria
Description: partial 16S ribosomal RNA
Rfam family: Bacterial small subunit ribosomal RNA
Source: RNAcentral